UCGUUGGGUAGGGGAGCGUUCUGUAAGCCUGUGAAGGUGUGUCGUGAGGCAUGCUGGAGGUAUCAGAAGUGCGAAUGCUGACAUAAGUAACGAUAAAGCGGGUGAAAAGCCCGCUCGCCGGAAGACCAAGGGUUCCUGUCCAACGUUAAUCGGGGCAGGGUGAGUCGACCCCUAAGGCGAGGCCGAAAGGCGUAGUCGAUGGGAAACGGGUUAAUAUUCCCGUACUUGGUGUUACUGCGAAGGGGGGACGGAGAAGGCUAUGUUGGCCGGGCGACGGUUGUCCCGGUUUAAGCGUGUAGGUGUGUGUUCCAGGUAAAUCCGGUUCACUUUAACACUGAGGCGUGACGACGAGGCACUACGGUGCUGAAGCAACAAAUGCCCUGCUUCCAGGAAAAGCCUCUAAGCAUCAGGUAACAUCAAAUCGUACCCCAAACCGACACAGGUGGUCAGGUAGAGAAUACCAAGGCGCUUGAGAGAACUCGGGUGAAGGAACUAGGCAAAAUGGUGCCGUAACUUCGGGAGAAGGCACGCUGACACGUAGGUGAAGUGAUUUACUCAUGGAGCUGAAGUCAGUCGAAGAUACCAGCUGGCUGCAACUGUUUAUUAAAAACACAGCACUGUGCAAACACGAAAGUGGACGUAUACGGUGUGACGCCUGCCCGGUGCCGGAAGGUUAAUUGAUGGGGUCAGCGCAAGCGAAGCUCCUGAUCGAAGCCCCGGUAAACGGCGGCCGUAACUAUAACGGUCCUAAGGUAGCGAAAUUCCUUGUCGGGUAAGUUCCGACCUGCACGAAUGGCGUAAUGAUGGCCAGGCUGUCUCCACCCGAGACUCAGUGAAAUUGAACUCGCUGUGAAGAUGCAGUGUACCCGCGGCAAGACGGAAAGACCCCGUGAACCUUUACUAUAGCUUGACACUGAACAUUGAGCCUUGAUGUGUAGGAUAGGUGGGAGGCUUUGAAGCGUGGACGCCAGUCUGCAUGGAGCCGACCUUGAAAUACCACCCUUUAAUGUUUGAUGUUCUAACGUGGACCCGUGAUCCGGGUUGCGGACAGUGUCUGGUGGGUAGUUUGACUGGGGCGGUCUCCUCCUAAAGAGUAACGGAGGAGCACGAAGGUUGGCUAAUCCUGGUCGGACAUCAGGAGGUUAGUGCAAUGGCAUAAGCCAGCUUGACUGCGAGCGUGACGGCGCGAGCAGGUGCGAAAGCAGGUCAUAGUGAUCCGGUGGUUCUGAAUGGAAGGGCCAUCGCUCAACGGAUAAAAGGUACUCCGGGGAUAACAGGCUGAUACCGCCCAAGAGUUCAUAUCGACGGCGGUGUUUGGCACCUCGAUGUCGGCUCAUCACAUCCUGGGGCUGAAGUAGGUCCCAAGGGUAUGGCUGUUCGCCAUUUAAAGUGGUACGCGAGCUGGGUUUAGAACGUCGUGAGACAGUUCGGUCCCUAUCUGCCGUGGGCGCUGGAGAACUGAGGGGGGCUGCUCCUAGUACGAGAGGACCGGAGUGGACGCAUCACUGGUGUUCGGGUUGUCAUGCCAAUGGCACUGCCCGGUAGCUAAAUGCGGAAGAGAUAAGUGCUGAAAGCAUCUAAGCACGAAACUUGCCCCGAGAUGAGUUCU
RNAcentral lists this ribosomal RNA (1609 nucleotides) under Salmonella enterica subsp. enterica serovar Newport str. DC_10-446. RNAcentral's name for it is "bacterial LSU rRNA". It matches the Rfam family "Bacterial large subunit ribosomal RNA", at positions 1221 to 2812 of the family's 2925-position model. The record is from RNAcentral. Lineage: Bacteria; Pseudomonadati; Pseudomonadota; Gammaproteobacteria; Enterobacterales; Enterobacteriaceae.